GUAGUAUGUGUGUGUGACUACAUUUAUAGUGGUGUAUUCUAGUUCUGUGUGUGUCCUGCUCUCUCUUCUAUCCAUUUAUCCCUCUCAUCCUCCCUCCCUUGCACCUUGGCUCAGUAACACUUUCCCAUUGAAUCUGUUCUCAUUCUCCCUCUGAAUAUUUCUCACUUUCUUACCUCUCUCUGGUUUUAUCACUUGGCCUAACUUUUUUUUGUCCCCUGAAAUGGUCGUACUCUCUGAGUCUACUAGUUAGUCUCCCUUCCCCUUGUUUCUUUUUAAAUGAUAUGUUGUCCAGUACCAUGGGAUAGACCCCUAUUGAAUAUACAGUAUGUAUGACUAUACAGUAUGUAUGACUAUACAGUAUGUAUGACUAUACAGUAUGUAUGUAUGACUAUACAGUAUGUAUGUGUGGGGACACUCUAGUUCUCCAUCAUUACAGGACAGGGUAUUCAUGUUGUCCCAGUUCUGCUGCAACCUACUUACUAUUUAUUCAGAACAGACCUUCCCCUACAGUCACUGUGUGUCUGUGUCACAGCGGCUCACAGCGUGCCAGUUCCUGGCAUUGUUAUUAAUUCAAGCCUGAAGGCAGCAGGGAAGAAGGCCUGACUAGAUAACAGGUCAAGCCUAAUGGCAGCAGGGAAGAAGAAGGCCUGGCUAGAUAACAGGUCAAGCCUGAUGGCAGCAGGGAAGAAGGCCUGGCUAGAUAACAGGUCAAGCCUGAUGGCAGCAGGGAAGAAGAAGGCCUGGCUAGAUAACAGGUCAAGCCUGAAGGCAGCAGGGAAGAAGGCCUGGCUAGAUAACAGGUCAAGCCUGAAGGCAGCAGGGAAGAAGAAGGCCUGGCUAGAUAACAGGUCAAGCCUGAUGGCAGCAGGGAAGAAGAAGGCCUGGCUAGAUAACAGGUCAAGCCUGAAGGCAGCAGGGAAGAAGGCCUGGCUAGAUAACAGGUCAAGCCUGAUGGCAGCAGGGAAGAAGGCCUGGCUAGAUAACAGGUCAAGCCUGAAGGCAGCAGGGAAGAAGAAGGCCUGGCUAGAUAACAGGUCAAGCCUGAUGGCAGCAGGGAAGAAGAAGGCCUGGCUAGAUAACAGGUCAAGCCUGAUGGCAGCAGGGAAGAAGGCCUGGCUAGAUA
RNAcentral lists this long non-coding RNA (1123 nucleotides) under Salmo salar (Atlantic salmon). RNAcentral describes it as "lncRNA (ENSSSAG00000098307.1)". The record is from RNAcentral. Lineage: Eukaryota; Metazoa; Chordata; Actinopteri; Salmoniformes; Salmonidae.